Molecule: ribosomal RNA, 253 nt
Filed under: uncultured bacterium
Lineage: Bacteria
Description: partial 16S ribosomal RNA
Rfam family: Bacterial small subunit ribosomal RNA
Source: RNAcentral
UACGGAAGGGGCGAGCGUUGUUCGGAAUCAUUGGGCGUAAAGGGCGCGUAGGUGGUCUCGUAUGUCUGCCGUGAAAUUGCACAGCUCAACUGUGCAAAGUCGGUAGAAACUGCAAGACUUGAGGUUGGGAGGGGCUGGUGGAAUUCCCUGUGUAGCGGUGAAAUGCGUAGAGAUAGGGGAGAACACUUGUGGCGAAGGCGGCCAGCUGGACCAAUUCUGACACUGAGGCGCGACAGCGUGGGGAGCAAACAGG